This 253-nucleotide ribosomal RNA is filed under the name uncultured bacterium. RNAcentral describes it as "partial 16S ribosomal RNA". It matches the Rfam family "Bacterial small subunit ribosomal RNA", at positions 524 to 776 of the family's 1533-position model. The record is from RNAcentral.
UACAGAGGGUGCGAGCGUUGUCCGGAAUCACUGGGCGUAAAGAGCGCGCAGGCGGUUGGAUAAGUCGAAUGUGAAAGCCCCCGGCUCAACUGGGGAGGGUCAUUCGAUACUGUCCGACUCGAAGGCAGGAGAGGGAAGCGGAAUUCCCGGUGUAGUGGUGAAAUGCGUAGAUAUCGGGAGGAACACCAGUGGCGAAGGCGGCUUUCUGGCCUGUUCUUGACGCUGAGGCGCGAAAGCCAGGGGAGCAAACGGG